Molecule: ribosomal RNA, 394 nt
Filed under: uncultured bacterium
Lineage: Bacteria
Description: bacterial SSU rRNA
Rfam family: Bacterial small subunit ribosomal RNA
Source: RNAcentral
GUGUCAGCAGCCGCGGUAAUACGAACCGUGCGAACGUUGUUCGGAAUCACUGGGCUUAAAGGGCGCGUAGGCGGGCUGUCCAGUCUGGGGUGAAAUCCCGCGGCUCAACCGUGGAGCUGCCUCAGAUACUGACGGCCUCGAGGGAGAUAGGGGCAUGCGGAACUGUAGGUGGAGCGGUGAAAUGCGUUGAUAUCUACAGGAACUCCGGUGGCGAAGGCGGCGUGCUGGAUCUCUUCUGACGCUGAGGCGCGAAAGCUAGGGGAGCAAACGGGAUUAGAUACCCCGGUAGUCCUAGCCCUAAACGAUGGGUACUAGAUAGUAGGCUAGAUAUGGGCUUACUGUCGAAGCUAAAGUGCUAAGUACCCCGCCUGGGGAGUAUGGUCGCAAGGCUGAA